RNAcentral lists this ribosomal RNA (253 nucleotides) under uncultured bacterium. RNAcentral describes it as "partial 16S ribosomal RNA". It matches the Rfam family "Bacterial small subunit ribosomal RNA", at positions 524 to 776 of the family's 1533-position model. The record is from RNAcentral.
UACGUAGGUGGCAAGCGUUGUCCGGAUUUACUGGGCGUAAAGAGCGCGCAGGCGGUCGUUCAAGUCGCGUGUGAAAGCCCCCGGCUCAACUGGGGAGGGUCACGCGAUACUGAUCGACUCGAAGGCAGGAGAGGGUAGUGGAAUUCCCGGUGUAGUGGUGAAAUGCGUAGAUAUCGGGAGGAACACCAGUGGCGAAGGCGACAUCCUGGACCGGCAUUGACGCUGAUGAGCGAAAGCUAGGGGAGCAAACGGG